Molecule: ribosomal RNA, 384 nt
Filed under: uncultured prokaryote
Description: bacterial SSU rRNA
Rfam family: Archaeal small subunit ribosomal RNA
Source: RNAcentral
GCGAAAACUUUACAAUGCCGGCAACGGCGAUAAGGGGACCUCGAGUGCCAGGUUACAAAUCUGGCUGUCGAGAUGCCUAAAAAGCAUUUCAUAGCAAGGGCCGGGCAAGACCGGUGCCAGCCGCCGCGGUAACACCGGCGGCUCGAGUGGUAACCGUUAUUAUUGGGUCUAAAGGGUCUGUAGCCGGCCGGAUAAGUCUCUUGAGAAAUCUGGCAGCUUAACUGUCAGGCUUUCAGGAGAUACUGUCUGGCUCGAGGCCGGGAGAGGUGAGAGGUACUUCAGGGGGAGGGGUGAAAUCUUGUAAUCCUUGAAGGACCACCAGUGGCGAAGGCGUCUCACCAGAACGGACCUGACGGCAAGGGACGAAAGCUAGGGGCACGAACC